RNAcentral lists this ribosomal RNA (253 nucleotides) under uncultured bacterium. RNAcentral's name for it is "partial 16S ribosomal RNA". It matches the Rfam family "Bacterial small subunit ribosomal RNA", at positions 524 to 776 of the family's 1533-position model. The record is from RNAcentral.
UACGGAGGGUGCAAGCGUUAUCCGGAUUCACUGGGUUUAAAGGGUGCGUAGGCGGGCAUGUAAGUCCGUGGUGAAAUCUCCGAGCUUAACUCGGAAACUGCCAUGGAUACUAUGUGUCUUGAAUGUUGUGGAGGUGAGCGGAAUAUGUCAUGUAGCGGUGAAAUGCUUAGAUAUGACAUAGAACACCAAUUGCGAAGGCAGCUUACUUCACGAUCAUUGACACUGAGGCACGAAAGCGUGGGGAGCAAACAGG